This 586-nucleotide unclassified non-coding RNA is filed under the name Hevea brasiliensis (rubber tree). The record is from RNAcentral. Lineage: Eukaryota; Viridiplantae; Streptophyta; Magnoliopsida; Malpighiales; Euphorbiaceae.
UAAAUUCAAAGACUAAAUUAUUACUAAUAUUAAAGCAACAGAGAUUAAAUUGUUAUAAAAAGUGAAAUGUGAUGGACUAAACUAUAACAGCCUUCAACCCACUGAUGUUGAAUUUUAACAGAAUGACCAUUUUGUUAAUAGAAACAUAACUCGGGGACUACUUCUUUCUCCUUGAAAAUAGAGGGACCAAGUUGUGGCUUUUAUCUUAUCUUAGUGACUAAAUUAUAAAUUAACCUAAAUGUUAAUUAAAGAACAAUGUCUAAGGGUUUCCAAACAUGCACCCCACCCUUAAGUCAUAUAGCACAUUAAAAAGAAAACAAAAGUAGAUCAGUAGUAUAUUAACAAAUAAAGAAGAAUAGAAAUCACCACUGAAUAACAUUUGAACUACUUCAGAUACCUGCCUAGAAUACUUUGAACAUUUUUUAACAGACUCAAUUUGUGAACACAUCAAAGUGACAAUCAAAUUAGGCCGCAAGGUAAACUAAAUUUUAUGUGUCAUUUAUGACAUGCAAUCAACAUAUUUAAUAAAUUUGUAUGCAAUAAAGGCCCUAAUUUAUGAAAUUCUAGGCAUAAAGCAACCCUGGAU